Chenopodium quinoa (quinoa) is the source of this 553-nucleotide long non-coding RNA. RefSeq lists it as uncharacterized. The transcript is spliced from 2 exons. NCBI's taxonomy places the organism in Eukaryota, Viridiplantae, Streptophyta, Magnoliopsida, Caryophyllales, Amaranthaceae. The record is from RefSeq and is a predicted model, not a curated record.
CCUUUGAGUGUCGCAGGUACCCGUUAAAUACCCGGGUUUUUUUAAAAAAAAAAAAAAUUUCUUGGCUGGAACUCAAAUUAGGGUUACUUACUCAUCUCUCUCCUCAUACAAUCAGUAGCCGCAUCUCAAUUCUCAAGCUUACCCCUCUUCUCUCUCCUCUCUCCUCUUUCCUCGCUCACUCUCAAUUUUCAAACACACACUCUCAGGCGACCCUCCUUCAUUCCUCUCAGACGACCGACGUCCUCCCUCUCAGGCGAACCUCGGUCGAUCGUCACUCCCUCACCGACCACCGUCAGCCGCGUAAGGGGUUAAGACUUGGUUUUGGAGCAACCAACAAUUAUCAUCAAUGAGGCAAUUGAAGCUUCGGAUGUCACAAGCGACUGAAAUGAUCCUCUCUCCCAUUUAGUUUGAUUUGUGGCUUUGAAAUAUUAUUUGGACUUUGUAAUAUAUUUGGUUGUUUUGUUUUAAUUUGAUGUAAACUCCUUAAACUCUCUGAACUCUCUCUAGCUAGACACCUUGAACUUUGAACUUUAACAGCAGGUUUAUAAGUCCA